AUCUGCCCCAGAAGACCCUUGAUUUACUGUUGCCACCCCAUAAACCCGAUGAGAUGACCGUAGGAAAGGUGUAUGCAGCUCUGAUGAUACUUGACUUCUACAAACAGAACAAGACACCCAGAGACCAGAUUCACCAGGCCACGGGAGGCCUGUCCCAGAUGGGCCCUGUGUCCCUGUUCCACCCUCUGAAGGCCACGCUGGAGCAGACACAGCCGGCUGUGCUCCGAGGAGCCCGGGUUUUCCUUCGGCA
Non-coding RNA from Callorhinus ursinus (northern fur seal), 250 nucleotides. Lineage: Eukaryota; Metazoa; Chordata; Mammalia; Carnivora; Otariidae. The record is from RefSeq and is a predicted model, not a curated record.